Taeniopygia guttata (zebra finch) is the source of this 1873-nucleotide non-coding RNA. The record is from RefSeq and is a predicted model, not a curated record. NCBI's taxonomy places the organism in Eukaryota, Metazoa, Chordata, Aves, Passeriformes, Estrildidae.
GGGUAAUUUUGGGAUAACUUGGUAGGAAUUUAAGAUCUGUGGCGAGGAUUUUGAGGUAAUUUAAGGGGAAUUUGGGGUCUGUGGCGAGGAUUUUGAGGUAAUUCAGUGGGGAAUUUAAGAUCUGUGGCGAGGAUUUUGAGGUAAUUCAGUGGGAAUUUAAGAUCUGUGGCGAGGAUUUUGAGGUAAUUCAGUGGGAAUUUGGGGUCUGUGGCGAGGAUUUUGAGGUAAUUUAAGGGGAAUUUAAGAUCUGUGGCGAGGAUUUUGAGGUAAUUCAGUGGGAAUUUAAGAUCUGUGGCGAGGAUUUUGAGGUAAUUUAAGGGGAAUUUAAGAUCUGUGGCGAGGAUUUUGCGGUAAUUCAGUGGGAAUUUAAGAUCUGUGGCGAGGAUUUUGAGGUAAUUUAAGGGGAAUUUAAGAUCUGUGGCGAGGAUUUUGAGGUAAUUUAAGGGGAAUUUGGGGUCUGUGGCGAGGAUUUUGAGGUAAUUUAAGGGGAAUUUAAGAUCUGUGGCGAGGAUUUUGAGGUAAUUUAAGGGGAAUUUAAGAUCUGUGGCGAGGAUUUUGAGGUAAUUUAAGGGGAAUUUAAGAUCUGUGGCGAGGAUUUUGAGGUAAUUUAAGGGGAAUUUAAGAUCUGUGGCGAGGAUUUUGAGGUAAUUCAGUGGGAAUUCGGGGUCUGUGGCGAGGAUUUUGAGGUAAUUCAGUGGGAAUUUAAGAUCUGUGGCGAGGAUUUUGAGGUAAUUUAAGGGGAAUUUAAGAUCUGUGGCGAGGAUUUUGAGGUAAUUUAAGGGGAAUUUAAGAUCUGUGGCGAGGAUUUUGAGGUAAUUUAAGGGGAAUUUAAGAUCUGUGGCGAGGAUUUUGAGGUAAUUCAGUGGGAAUUCGGGGUCUGUGGCGAGGAUUUUGAGGUAAUUCAGUGGGAAUUUUAAAUCUGUGGCGAGGAUUUUGAGGUAAUUUAAGGGGAAUUUAAGACCUGUGGCGAGGAUUUUGAGGUAAUUCAGUGGGAAUUUAAGAUCUGUGGCGAGGAUUUUGAGGUAAUUCAGUGGGAAUUUGGGGUCUGUGGCGAGGAUUUUGAGGUAAUUCAGUGGGAAUUUGGGGUCUGUGGCGAGGAUUUUGAGGUAAUUCAGUGGGAAUUUGGGGUCUGUGGUGAGGAUUUUGAGGUAAUUUAAGGGGAAUUUAAGAUCUGUGGCGAGGAUUUUGAGGUAAUUUAAGGGGAAUUUAAGAUCUGUGGCGAGGAUUUUGAGGUAAUUCAGUGGGAAUUUGGGGUCUGUGGCGAGGAUUUUGAGGUAAUUUAAGGGGAAUUUAAGAUCUGUGGCGAGGAUUUUGAGGUAAUUCAGUGGGAAUUUGGGGUCUGUGGCGAGGAUUUUGAGGUAAUUUAAGGGGAAUUUAAGAUCUGUGGCGAGGAUUUUGAGGUAAUUUAAGGGGAAUUUAAGAUCUGUGGCGAGGAUUUUGAGGUAAUUCAGUGGGAAUUUGGGGUCUGUGGCGAGGAUUUUGAGGUAAUUUAAGGGGAAUUUAAGAUCUGUGGCGAGGAUUUUGAGGUAAUUUAAGGGGAAUUUGGGGUCUGUGGCGAGGAUUUUGAGGUAAUUUAAGGGGAAUUUAAGAUCUGUGGCGAGGAUUUUGAGGUAAUUUAAGGGGAAUUUAAGAUCUGUGGCGAGGAUUUUGAGGUAAUUUAAGGGGAAUUUAAGAUCUGUGGCGAGGAUUUUGAGGUAAUUUAAGGGGAAUUUGGGGUCUGUGGCGAGGAUUUUGAGGUAAUUCAGUGGGAAUUUGGGGUCUGUGGCGAGGAUUUUGAGGUAAUUCAGUGGGGAUUUGGGGUCUGUGGUGAGGAUUUUGAGGUAAUUCAGUGGGAAUUCGGGGUCCUGGGAGGAUUUGGGGUUGAUUUUGGGGG